This 617-nucleotide long non-coding RNA is filed under the name Trifolium pratense (red clover). RNAcentral's name for it is "long non-coding RNA (TPRA_LNC009448)". Lineage: Eukaryota; Viridiplantae; Streptophyta; Magnoliopsida; Fabales; Fabaceae. The record is from RNAcentral.
GAAGCAACAUUAAGCAUGGCCAGUUGAAAAUUGAUAUGAACAAUAAAUUAUAACAAAGGAAGUGGCAAAUCAACAAGACAAAAAGUGCCAAACCAGGCUUGUCAAGAAUUCCUCAUCCUUGGGGAUGGCAAAGAGAUUUACUCUGGAAUCUUCACACUCAUGCUCCAACACUAUCCCAAAACAAAUACACACAUGUAAGUAAAACAAUUGUUUUAUCCCAAGGCUGAGCACAAAGUAUGUGAACCUCUUCCUGCCACUGGAUCCCAGAAAGCCACACAUUAUAGGCUGAACGGGAAGUAUGUGAACAUUCAAAAGAAAAAAUAAGUAUUAAUGGUAAAUCAUAAAGGAAUAUCAUGAAAUCAACUCGCUUUAAAGAACAAUUGGUACAAAUCAUUAGUAGGAGCUAUCAUUAAAAACUAUAUAUAUAUAUAUAAUCAAAUGAGAAUUCAAAGAACAAUUGGGACAAAUCAUUAGUAGAAGCCAGCAAGAAACAAAUCAAACCUCGGCAUAUACCAGAGUAACCAAGGAAAAAAAAGUGAGAAAACAGGAGGAGGAUAGAACCAGAAGGACUUGUUUGUACAUAUAGAUCACAUCUCCUCCUAGCAAAACCAAAUAGA